Molecule: long non-coding RNA, 1372 nt
Organism: Clupea harengus (Atlantic herring)
Lineage: Eukaryota; Metazoa; Chordata; Actinopteri; Clupeiformes; Clupeidae
Exons: 3
Source: RefSeq, a predicted model, not a curated record
GAGACGUGCUAGCCAACCUAGCACCAGACGCUAGCACCACUGGAUCAACGCCUCCUUUCUGACACGCCCGCCUCCCAUGCCCGAGGUUGCGAGAUCGAGUCCGGUGUGCGAUUGUGCGACUUCUUCUACAUAACGCUUGAUACACCCGCAUCCACAGGAGGGUCGCGUCGCCCAGCUAAAGUUGAGCUGAGGAAAAUCUGUUCAGACGCGUUCAUAACUCCCCCACGUUUCAUCAUCACUGAGCACGUGCGAGCUGUUUACAGUCGGUGGGUGUUGGCGAAUGAGGGUUAGGUCCGGUCACAGUGGAGUUGUACAUUUCGCAAUCAAACCAGGUUUGUCAAACGAGUGGCAGUGUAACCUUUAGAAAUUGUGGCUCUUUUAUUAAUCACCAUCGAAUAGUAUAACGCAAUAUGUGCAUAGUCUAUACUGCCUAGUAUACGUGGAGUUUCGCCUAGCAUAUUGCUUAUCAAAUAGUUUGAUAUUAGUUUUAAUUUGUGAUUUACUUAUUUUCAAAGCGACAUCAAAUGUGCCAUAUAGCGGUACCAGACGUUGGUUAAGCGAUCUGCACCGUAUUUAUCGCCAGUAUGACUAAGCUCCGCUGGAACAGGCACCGAGGCGCAUUAAUAUGCAGUCACACCCCCUGCAGUGUUCCAUCGGCCUGACAGAAAUAUUACUGAGUCAACAACACCUCUACGAGGAAAACGCUCAGAAACACACUGUGUCACGUCAGGACGUCAAGCAGCACAUCUUCUACUACAAGCUGGUGAUUUCUUCUCCUGUCAUACAACGAUGGCUUGGUCAAGAUCAACAGAUUGAAGCCUUUGUUAUAUGUGGAGAUCUGAUUGAGUGACAAAAACUGCAAGGACCCCAUUCAAGAGAACAGGUCAAAUUAGUACAAUUAUCCCCAGCUUCUCUCUGUAGUAUUGCACAUGGAAAAGGCAACAAAAAAACAAAACGAUUCAGUUGAUAGCAAAGAUACUAUAUGCACAGGCUGACAGCAGGUCCGUUUUGCAUUCUUCUUGAUGCAUUCAUACAGUCUAGUAGUAGUCUAGCACCUGGCAGGUACCACAUGUGGCCAUUUCUGACAUUUCUGAACACAGCCAAGACCCCACAGCUUUGUAGGGCACAUAAUUAUGUAUUGCUUAUAGUUUUUACAAGGUCAGAAUUAUUAUUUUGUAAAACAAUUUUCAGGUUUGGGUUCAUGAUUUUACCUGGCUCCAGUGGAAAAGUGUCCAUGCACACAUGUACAUCAUGAAAUGCAGAAAUUGUGAUUGAAAUCAUGUCCUGAACUUUUCAUUUAUUGUAUGUUACCUUUCCUUGGUUCCAGAAUACUGAAUAAAACACAAAAAAGUAGAAGAUAGAACACUUUAAA